RNAcentral lists this ribosomal RNA (808 nucleotides) under uncultured Bacillota bacterium. RNAcentral's name for it is "bacterial SSU rRNA". It matches the Rfam family "Bacterial small subunit ribosomal RNA", at positions 58 to 847 of the family's 1533-position model. Lineage: Bacteria; Bacillati; Bacillota. The record is from RNAcentral.
CAAGUCGUACGCGACUUGGACUUCGGUCCAAGUUGAGUGGCGAACGGGUGAGUAACACGUGGGUGACCUACCUUCGAGUGGGGGAUAACGUCCCGAAAGGGACGCUAAUACCGCAUAACAUCCUGCCUUUGAACAGGUGGAGAUCAAAGCCGGGGAUCGCAAGACCUGGCGCUUGAUGAGGGGCCCGCGCCUGAUUAGCUAGUUGGUGAGGUAACGGCUCACCAAGGCGACGAUCAGUAUCCGGCCUGAGAGGGCGGACGGACACACUGGGACUGAGACACGGCCCAGACUCCUACGGGAGGCAGCAGUGGGGAACUGUUCGCAAUGGGCGCAAGCCUGACGACGCAACGCCGCGUGGAGGACGAAGGUCUUCGGAUUGUAAACUCCUGUUGCUCGGGACGAAAAGCUUCGACCUAACACGUCGAAGUCUGACGGCACCGAGUGAGGAAGCCCCGGCUAACUCUGUGCCAGCAGCCGCGGUAAUACAGAGGGGGCAAGCGUUGUUCGGAAUUACUGGGCGUAAAGGGCGCGUAGGCGGCCUGCUAAGUCGAACGUGAAAUCCCUGGGCUCAACCCAGGAACUGCGUCCGAUACUGGUUGGCUUGAAUCCGGGAGAGGGAUGUGGAAUUCCAGGUGUAGCGGUGAAAUGCGUAGAUAUCUGGAGGAACACCGGUGGCGAAGGCGACAUCCUGGACCGGUAUUGACGCUGAGGCGCGAAAGCCAGGGGAGCAAACGGGAUUAGAUACCCCGGUAGUCCUGGCCCUAAACGAUGAAUGCUUGGUGUGGCGGGUAUCGAUCCCUGCCGUGCC